This 248-nucleotide ribosomal RNA is filed under the name uncultured bacterium. Its description in RNAcentral is "partial 16S ribosomal RNA". It matches the Rfam family "Bacterial small subunit ribosomal RNA", at positions 523 to 769 of the family's 1533-position model. The record is from RNAcentral.
AUACGUAGGUGGCAAGCGUUGUCCGGAUUUACUGGGCGUAAAGGGAGCGUAGGCGGAUUAUUUAAGUCAGAUGUGAAAUACCCGAGCUUAACUUGGGUGCUGCAUUUGAAACUGGAUAUCUGGAGUGCAGGAGAGGAAAGUGGAAUUCCUAGUGUAGCGGUGAAAUGCGUAGAGAUUAGGAAGAACACCAGUGGCGAAGGCGACUUUCUGGACUGUAACUGACGCUGAGGCUCGAAAGCGUGGGGAGC